Phyllostomus discolor (pale spear-nosed bat) is the source of this 144-nucleotide long non-coding RNA. RefSeq lists it as uncharacterized. The transcript is spliced from 2 exons. Lineage: Eukaryota; Metazoa; Chordata; Mammalia; Chiroptera; Phyllostomidae. The record is from RefSeq and is a predicted model, not a curated record.
GCUGAAUCACCCAGCCAGGGCUAGUAUUUGACUAUUAUGAAUGAAACUUUUAUGAACACUUGUGUGCAUGUCUUUGUGUGGACAUAUCUUCAUUUGUCUUAGGGAUUGAUAAAUUACAUAUUAAGUGUAUAUUUAGUUUUAUUU